CACGGUAAACGAUGGAUGCCCGCUGUUUGCGAUAUAUUGUAAGCGGCCAAGCGAAAGCGUUAAGCAUCCCACCUGGGGAGUACGCCGGCAACGGUGAAACUCAAAGGAAUUGACGGGGGCCCGCACAAGCGGAGGAACAUGUGGUUUAAUUCGAUGAUACGCGAGGAACCUUACCCGGGCUUGAACUGCGGAGGAAUGCGGUGGAGACACCAAAGCUCUUCGGAGCCUCCGUGGAGGUGCUGCAUGGUUGUCGUCAGCUCGUGCCGUGAGGUGUCGGCUUAAGUGCCAUAACGAGCGCAACCCCUGCGAUUAGUUGCCAUCAGGUUAAGCUGGGCACUCUGGUCGGACUGCCACCGUAAGGUGUGAGGAAGGUGGGGAUGACGUCAAAUCAGCACGGCCCUUACGUCCGGGGCUACACACGUGUUACAAUGGGUGGUACAGAGAGUCGGUGCAUGGCAAUAUGCAUCCAAUCAUUAAAGCCAUCCUCAGUUCGGAUUGGGGUCUGCAACCCGACC
This 515-nucleotide ribosomal RNA is filed under the name uncultured bacterium. Its description in RNAcentral is "bacterial SSU rRNA". It matches the Rfam family "Bacterial small subunit ribosomal RNA", at positions 798 to 1317 of the family's 1533-position model. The record is from RNAcentral.